UACGUAGGGACCAAGCGUUGUUCGGAUUUACUGGGCGUAAAGGGCGCGUAGGCGGCAAUUCAAGUCAGCUGUGAAAUCUCCGGGCUUAACUCGGAACGGUCAGCUGAUACUGCUUUGCUAGAGUGCAGAAGGGGCAAUCGGAAUUCUUGGUGUAGCGGUGAAAUGCGUAGAUAUCAAGAGGAACACCGGUGGCGAAGGCGGAUCUCUGGGCCUUGCCUGACGCUGAGGCGCGAAAGCUAGGGGAGCGAACAGG
RNAcentral lists this ribosomal RNA (253 nucleotides) under uncultured bacterium. Its description in RNAcentral is "partial 16S ribosomal RNA". It matches the Rfam family "Bacterial small subunit ribosomal RNA", at positions 524 to 776 of the family's 1533-position model. The record is from RNAcentral.